RNAcentral lists this unclassified non-coding RNA (139 nucleotides) under soil metagenome. RNAcentral describes it as "partial internal transcribed spacer 1". The record is from RNAcentral.
CCUAGAGUUGUAGGCUUUGCCUGCUAUCUCUUACCCAUGUCUUUUGAGUACCUUCGUUUCCUCGGCGGGUCCGCCCGCCGAUUGGGACAAUUUAAACCAUUUGCAGUUGCAAUCAGCGUCUGAAAAAACUUAAUAGUUA